UCUUAGGUGACUGAGUUUAAGUGCUAGACUUUUAAUCUAGAUACGGCUGGGAUUGGUAGCCCCUAGGAA
RNAcentral lists this transfer RNA (69 nucleotides) under Erronea caurica. Its description in RNAcentral is "tRNA-Lys". RNAcentral also lists the same sequence under 1 other name. Lineage: Eukaryota; Metazoa; Mollusca; Gastropoda; Littorinimorpha; Cypraeidae. The record is from RNAcentral.